Long non-coding RNA from Oxyura jamaicensis (ruddy duck), 430 nucleotides. RefSeq lists it as uncharacterized. The record is from RefSeq and is a predicted model, not a curated record. Lineage: Eukaryota; Metazoa; Chordata; Aves; Anseriformes; Anatidae. The transcript has 2 exons.
AGAUGCUUGGCUGGUUCCUGACUUUCAGAAUAAAUACGCAAUGGGAUGAAACUGACUUUCUUCCAGAAUAUCAGAUCCUGAAAUGAUGUGGUGCAAAGGCGUAGAAAAACUCUAUCUUAUGAAUAGGGGAUGGCAUCGCUGUCUUGAAAAAGUAAUAUAGUCGGGGCACAGGAAGAUCAAUGAUGUUCUUUGGAUGGGUGAAGAGAUUUCUGUGAACUGUACCUUGAAAGUACAAGAUGAAGCUGUCCCUGUUAGUAAUUGAAUUGGAUGAAAUGUGAUUCGUUUGUUGUUAGAUGCUUUCUGGAGCCCUUGCAGACAUACUUCUUUAGGUAGUUGUACUAUAUUUCUCUAGUCAGACCUGUAGGCAUUGAAGGUUUUGGGGGAUGCUUCAUCCCUGUAUUGCUUUAUCAACAAUCUACCUUCUUGUGAA